UCGGUUGCUUGCAACCGAUGAUGGCGACCGGCGCACGGGUGAGUAACACGUAUCCAACCUGGCCUUUACAAUGGGAUAGGCUUUCGAAAGAAAGAUUAAUACUGUAUGUUCCGUGAUCUCCGCAUGGAGAUUCCGGCAAAGAUUUAUCGGUAAAGGAUGGGGAUGCGUUCCAUUAGGCAGUAGGCGGGGUAACGGCCCACCUAACCGACGAUGGAUAGGGGUUCUGAGAGGAAGGUCCCCCACAUUGGAACUGAGACACGGUCCAAACUCCUACGGGAGGCAGCAGUGAGGAAUAUUGGUCAAUGGGCGCGAGCCUGAACCAGCCAAGUAGCGUGCAGGAAGACGGCCCUAUGGGUUGUAAACUGCUUUUGAAGGGGAAUAACAGAAUCUACGUGUAGAUUUUUGCAUGUACCUUUCGAAUAAGGAUCGGCUAACUCCGUGCCAGCAGCCGCGGUAAUACGGAGGAUCCGAGCGUUAUCCGGAUUUAUUGGGUUUAAAGGGUGCGUAGGCUGGUUUUUAAGUCAGCUGUGAAAUACCAACGCUUACCGUCGGCACUGCAGUUGAAACUGGGAGCCUUGAGAGUGCAAGAGGCAUGCGGAAUUCAUGGUGUAGCGGUGAAAUGCAUAGAUAUCAUGAAGAACCCCGAUUGCGAAAGCAGCAUGCUGGGGCAUAUCUGACGCUGAGUCACGAAAGUGCGGGUAUCAAACAGGAUUAGAUACCCUGGUAGUCCGCACAGUAAACGAUGAAUACCAGCUGUUGGCGAUAGACAGUCAGCGGCGUAAGCGAAAGCGUUAAGUAUUCCACCUGGGGAGUACGCCGGCAACGCGUGAAACUCAAGGAU
Molecule: ribosomal RNA, 841 nt
Filed under: uncultured Bacteroides sp.
Lineage: Bacteria; Pseudomonadati; Bacteroidota; Bacteroidia; Bacteroidales; Bacteroidaceae
Description: bacterial SSU rRNA
Rfam family: Bacterial small subunit ribosomal RNA
Source: RNAcentral